Molecule: non-coding RNA, 23 nt
Filed under: Rattus norvegicus (Norway rat)
Lineage: Eukaryota; Metazoa; Chordata; Mammalia; Rodentia; Muridae
Source: RNAcentral
GGUAUUAAAUUAUUGCUAGAAGC